AAAACUAUACUUUAACAGAUCAUUUCUAUAGUUCAUUCAUAGAAAAGUUUCUCUUAUUGUUUGAAGUAUCAGAACCCAUGAGGAGGAGGGACAGUGUUCUCCCUGAAUGUGCUGCAGGCUCUUGGUAUCGCUUUGCAGCAAUUGCCACUUGCUAUUGAUAAUCAUUCCUGCUCUCCUUUGGGGGAACAGGAGGGGAGGACGCAGUCUAAGU
This is a small nucleolar RNA of Jaculus jaculus (lesser Egyptian jerboa), 211 nucleotides long. Its record names the gene U3. It matches the Rfam family "Small nucleolar RNA U3". From Rfam's summary of the family: Small nucleolar RNAs (snoRNAs) are involved in the processing and modification of rRNA in the nucleolus. There are two main classes of snoRNAs: the box C/D class, and the box H/ACA class. U3 snoRNA is a member of the box C/D class. Lineage: Eukaryota; Metazoa; Chordata; Mammalia; Rodentia; Dipodidae. The record is from Ensembl.